Molecule: non-coding RNA, 72 nt
Filed under: unclassified sequences
Description: DUF3800-IX RNA
Rfam family: DUF3800-IX RNA
About the family: Actinobacteria, Firmicutes (1 example), Nitrospirae, Proteobacteria, Verrucomicrobia (1 example). Nearby to DUF3800
Source: Rfam by way of RNAcentral
GCUUAAUAUAUCGAACAGUCACCCGCUGGUGGCGUGCUACGCUAUACGCGUAGAUAGAUAUAUUAAGCUAUU